RNAcentral lists this ribosomal RNA (435 nucleotides) under Salmonella enterica subsp. houtenae. RNAcentral's name for it is "bacterial SSU rRNA". It matches the Rfam family "Bacterial small subunit ribosomal RNA", at positions 1 to 432 of the family's 1533-position model. Lineage: Bacteria; Pseudomonadati; Pseudomonadota; Gammaproteobacteria; Enterobacterales; Enterobacteriaceae. The record is from RNAcentral. RNAcentral also lists the same sequence under 1 other name.
AAAUUGAAGAGUUUGAUCAUGGCUCAGAUUGAACGCUGGCGGCAGGCCUAACACAUGCAAGUCGAACGGUAACAGGAAGCAGCUUGCUGCUUCGCUGACGAGUGGCGGACGGGUGAGUAAUGUCUGGGAAACUGCCUGAUGGAGGGGGAUAACUACUGGAAACGGUGGCUAAUACCGCAUAACGUCGCAAGACCAAAGAGGGGGACCUUCGGGCCUCUUGCCAUCAGAUGUGCCCAGAUGGGAUUAGCUGGUAGGUGGGGUAACGGCUCACCUAGGCGACGAUCCCUAGCUGGUCUGAGAGGAUGACCAGCCACACUGGAACUGAGACACGGUCCAGACUCCUACGGGAGGCAGCAGUGGGGAAUAUUGCACAAUGGGCGCAAGCCUGAUGCAGCCAUGCCGCGUGUAUGAAGAAGGCCUUCGGGUUGUAAAGUA